This is a long non-coding RNA of Mus musculus (house mouse), 7721 nucleotides long. RefSeq annotates it as predicted gene, 52764. NCBI's taxonomy places the organism in Eukaryota, Metazoa, Chordata, Mammalia, Rodentia, Muridae. The record is from RefSeq and is a predicted model, not a curated record. The transcript has 3 exons.
AAUUUUGUCUUGACCUACAACAUAUCUAAUGUCAUAAAUUCCUUAACAUUAAAAACAUGAAACACCUUUUAAAUGUAGGAUUGUCUCACAGUUAGAAUUCUAGGACCCUGGAGAGCCUAGUUCUCUGGACUGGAAGUAUUUGGAGAGCAGCUGCUCUCAUAGGGUAAGGAUGGAUGCAUGCAGGUCCUCCCUACACCCUCACAGAUGUGCUGAAGAAAUACAGACUGUAUCGGUAACUAUUGAAUGCAUAGAAGAUGACAUUCCUAAACUGUCCCUUGAGUUUUCACCUGCUUUCCGUAGCUAUUGCACCCCACAUGGGGGAACACAUGGGGCUGCCAGGCUGUGUCCUUCAUUGGGCAGAUGGUAAGAUAAGCUCAGGGUGCUGAGAGACUCACAGAGCUUCCCAGGUAACUCUUCAGGAUCAUUUUCAGGAAAUAAAAAGUUGCAUGAAAAUAUCUUUUUUUUAAAAAAAGUUAUUUAUUUUAUGUACAUACACUGUAGCUAUCUUCAGACACCCCAGAAGAGGGCAUCAGAUCUCAUUACGGAUGGUUGUAAGCCACCAUGUGGUCCCUGGGAUUUGAACUCGGGACCUCUAGAAGAGCAGUCAGUGCUCUUAACUGCUGAGCCAUCUCUCCAGGCCCCAAAAUAGCUAUUUGUUUCUAACUUGCUUGUAAUUGAAUCUCGCUAACUAAUAAUAUGUUCUCUCUUCACUACUACUGUGAAAACACAGCACCCUACUCUUCGGUCGCUCCCUCUCUUUGCCCUCCUUCCUUCUUUCCUUUCUUCUUGAAGACAAGGAAGAUGACAUAGCCCAGGCUGAGCUCAGCUGGAGUCUCCUGCUUCAUCUUCUCUGGUGCUGAGUUCAGGUGUGUGAGCUACCACUCCUGUUCUCAGUGGUUCCGUUUCUUUCCUACAAUCUUCAGGUAUUCUUCACCUUCCUCUAUAGUUCUUCCCAUAGUCACAUUCCUAAACCAUGUGAUGGGGUUUAACCUGAGGCAUGCGGAAGACACCUUGCCAAUAAACACCCAACCAAAUAAGGAUUAUGGUAGGAUAUCUGAGAUUUAUCUGAGAGAGUGGCAGAAUAUUACUGCUUUUAUGAUGAACUUAAUAUAGGUUAUCAUAUUGCCAACAAUCAACUAAAAGUUACCACUAAAUCCUUCUAGGCUAGAAAACACACUGUUGAUAAAAUAAUUGCAAAGUUUUCUUGCAAAAAAAAAAAUCCCUCCUCCUUAUGUUUAAUAUGUAAGUCAGUUUUAAGUUGGAAUACAUUUUAGAAUGUUAUUAUCACAGUCAUGUAAUUAAUUAUAUAGCUAUGAUAUAUAAUCACAUAUAUGAUUAUUCUUUAUUAAAAUUUAUAGAGGGACAACAUAAGACUAUUCAAGCAGAUUGAGGGCAAUGUAGCCCAGAACAUCUCAAUGUUAGGUAGGCUACCAUGACUUUAUAAUAGAGCUGUAUUACAGGGAGCACUAUAAAUACAAGUGUUUUAAGGACAAGUUAAAAAAUGUGACAAUAAGACCUAAUUUGGUUGUCUCAGCCUGGAGCUCAGUUCUUUUGCAUAGUGGGCUAAUCUUGUCCAGUGGGGCACAGGGAUCAUGCCUGCCAGGUAAGCUGUCUAGUACGAUCGCUUCUUUUUAAAGAGCCUUCAUGUUUACUGUGGUGGUCUAGGAUUUUGAAUUAGAAAUGUCCUGUCAUCAGAAAGAUAGAGCCAAGUCAGGGGUGGAAGAUUACUACCUUCUAGAUACUGCUAUCAGUGUAAGCCUGACACUUUAUAUUAUCAUAAUCUCACUAGGACUUACCUGCCACUUAGCAAUUAAGUCCAUUUACUGAAGCCCUGAUGGACUCAUAUUUAUUUAUAAAAGUACUUUGGGUUACACAGGGAACCUGCACUAACCCUACUCUUGACACCAAAGAACUCUCAGAUAAGGACUAAGUUUUUGGUCCAGUUUUCACAGUUUUCUGCUCUUCCACCCUUCAUCUAACUUCAGUGGCACCAAGCUUUAAAUUACUGAAUAUAAUAAGUUCACAAACCAUGCCAUUCUAUUUAAUCCCACAAACACGAGAAGCUGUGCUGUAGCAUGUUUAUCUUGCUGCCUAUAUUACUAGCUUAUGUCAUGGUGAUUUCUUAGUUUAAAAGGAAGCUGAUAGAUAUACAGACGCAUCACAGUUUUCUCCAUAGCUUCCUAAAGAAAUCACAUUUCCGAACUAAUUAAGAUCUAUGUAUAAAAAAAAAGGAUCUAUGUAUCAAAAAUGGCAAACACAGCUUUAAUGGAUUUAUCGACCUCAUUUUCUAAAAUGUUACCAAAGCAAAGUGAUACAUUAGAAGUGCCAACUAAAAGGCAGUCCCCCACCCCACCCCCACAGGUCAAACCAUAAACAUAAAUCACACCAAGGGUAGAGUGGUAAAAGGCAGAGAAAAUUUACAUUUACAGCACAGUUGAGAGUAUUAAAAUAAUAAUGUGCUAUAUUUUCUCUCUUCUUAUGAUUCUGAUGUUAAGUAACAGGUAAGAGUGUCUUAAUACUUUUAACAUCUCAUCGUAUUUUAAUAGUUCACUAAAAUAAGAUUGUGCUUGAAAGAACACGUACAAGAGGUAAUUUACUUAUGGGUGAGGAACACCAUUACUGUCUAGGCAAUGUGGACCAGGGCUAAGUCUCGUGUUCGGUUGCAAGUAUGCUCCCUGGGUGGCAAGAUGCACUUUUAUGAUUAUUUAAAUACCUGCCUGCAUGAGAGCCCUCCAUACAGCUGUCUUUUCCAGUAUGUAGGAUCAAGCACUGGACCCCAUGGAGAAGGGGUCAUGGGGUCAGGCCAGCUCAAGUGAAGGACUCACAUGUACUUGAGGGCUCUCAUUUUGAGUGCUGGGGAAGGCCACUGUAUUGUGUGAUGGGGCCACUCCAACAUCACUUUCCUGAGUCUCUGGCAGUGUACUGUGGUAGAUGAUGUCAUUUUGAUGACACAUUUGCCUAAUGGCUCUUUGUUUAGGAUGGGAGGCAUUGCAAACUCCACCUAUUGUCCACAAAUACCAAGGAAGGAGCCUGUUCUCAGGAAAUAUAAGUACUUGUCUGGGAACAGCAUGACCUGUGUGUGUAUUCCACAGACCAAGGGGCAGCUCAAUAAUGAACAACCAAAGGGAAGGGGAGAAGCCAUAUUCUGGCAGCCACAUUUGCCUACCUGGAUCUGUUAUAGAUUGUAAUUUGGGGUGUGCUACUGAAAAACAUUUGCAUCUCCCUUAGGCUCUUUUCUGACCCGUGGGUACUUCCGAUUGCUACUUUGCCAGGGAGCACCAGGUGGUUUAUUAUGGCUUCUAAUUUCUGGAAAGAAAAGUCACUGGUGUGAGCUUCUCUUGGAGAAAUUUCAGAGAACGUCUGUUUUAAAGAUGCUCCGCCUUCGGAGUCGUCAGACAGAUGAGCCCUUGACAUGUUUAUGAUCAUACUCUUGAGUGGUAUCACGAAGAAGUGUGGACAAGUUGAACUUCUUAAAUUGUUAUUUAUAGUAACCAAGGUUCAAGGCAAAGAGGAAAAUAAAAACUUUGGGCACCUUCGGUGGUGAUUCAUUUCUGCUCCAGAGCAAGGGACAGGCAGUGAGGAAGAGCACCAGGGGAGGGGGCUCUUCAUCCAUUAUUCCAGUUUGGACCCUCUCUUCUGCUUCAGCUACAUUUUGGAGUGUGCUCAAAAAAAAAAAAUCUCCCUAUGACUUGAUAUUGAAAAGGUGAACUCUUAGACUAAACCUGGCCUGAGGAAAACCGAGUAAUAAGAUCAGCCUCUCACUUCCUCAAUCAAGCUUUCUUAGACUGGCUGGAGCCUUAGGUUGUAAGAGCCCUAAGUGAGCAGCACCCACUUUCCUUAGAAAGCUCUUCAUGCUGCCUUGCUACCUCGCAGGAGGAGAUGUGAUUGGCAUCUGUUGGUAUCUAGAUAUAAUCUUUCUUAGGGGGGCAGAGACAGGCAAGAUUAAGUGCCUUUUAGUGCAGGGAUUAUUGCAAUGUUGAAUUGGAUUUAGCCAGUGUGUUAAGAACUCAGAUGGCAAUGGCCUGAUACUAACUGUUGCAAAAUUUCCUAACGUAGUUUUUCUCUAUUUAAGUUUGCCAUGUUCAAGAUCUGAACAUGUCUAUACUUUUAGGUAUGGGAGCAGGGGCAUGGCAUUCACUGAAAAUUUGAUUACCAAAACAAGCCACCGAAAUAGUCAUCCUAAGACUAGUUAGAGAUAAAACUUGUAGAGGCAAAAACUUUAUUAAAUAAACUACUUGACUAAGUAACUGAAAAAGUAUUUUUCUUAGUUUUAAUGUUAAAACUUAUUGCCAGGAUCUAUACAUUAGAAAUACACUUUCUUUAGCCAUGAUGGCUAUUUCUUGAAUAGGCCAUGUAGUAAAUGAAAAUUAUAUGAGAUUCAUCAUUCUAAUAAGGAUGGUCUUUGGUGAAUGACAGAGAAACUAUUAAUAACCAUAACAGAACAAUCAAGACCAGGGUACCCCAGGAAACUCUCAGGUGCUGUUACCCCACAUAGCCUCAUUGGUCACUAUUAAAAACCAUUGUCCAUUGGGAAAUAUGGGUUGGAACAAGGCUAGUACCAUCCAUACAGAACAUGCAGGGAGGGAUGAAGCAGUAAGGGUUUUUAGGAAUAACUUUCCCACUCCCUGUUAGAAACCUCUUCCAUGGCCCAACAUUAGGAAUACUUAAGUUGUUCCUUUUGUGCUUGCAAAGAAAGUUCCUUCCUUAGUGAGGUUCAUCAGAAAAGGCCACAAUAGCAUGCUUAUCCAAGGGCCAAGGUGGGCCUGUACACAGAAGCCAAGAAACUACCAGCAUUGUAGUUAUUUUUGCUGUACCACUGCACACAUUCAAGUCCCAAUGUUAUUAUUUAUUGUGUUCCACAAGGCAGUCUUGCUCAGAAACUGUUUCUCUAUGUAUCUCACCUUAAUUUUCUAUUUAGACAUGAGUUCUUGUGAAUUUCCUCUCUUGAGUGCCUAGCAGAGUUUUACACACAUGUUGAGUGUUUCGUAUACUCUUUUUGAUUGAUGUGGAUCCUUUGGGGGCCAUCUCUGGGCAUUGUGAUUUCAAAUGAAAGGCACUGCCCCACCGCCCCACCGCCUGUGGGUAGAGGCUUUUCUUAUUCUCUUUACUUUUUCUGAUGCCUCCUCACCUUAGAACAUCUCAUGAAGAUCAGAGGUGGUGCAGGCUUCCUCUCAGAUUACCCAUGUGCCACGCCCCACUUCAUGGCUCUCUACUAGCCUAUGGCUGCCUUUCUUUGUUUAAAAUCACAGUUUCCCCAAGGAAUACAUCUUUAUUAAGAUGCCCUGUGCACGUACAUUAAACUGUCAACUUAAUCUAAUUAGGAGUCAAAUGAGGCACGGCAGAAUUUACAUCAUUUGAUAAAUUUCCAUCAUUUACAGGGGGGAACAGUGACUUGAAUCCAAAUAGUUCUUUACAAUUUUACAGAGCCCAAACAUGCUGCAGCUCUGUAGAGCCCAGGCCUGUAGGUGGAGGGAGGGGCGUCUUUCUCUUUGGAGACUGCAACCCAGUUGGAGUGUGAAAACAAAAAUCUUGGUAUGUCCUGGCAGGGCUGUAAGGGAGGGAGGAUUACUAGGAUCUGCACCAAAGCAGGGAAACGUCAAAGUUUACAGAUGAGAGUAGGAUUCGAUUCUGAACUUUCCCCAGUCUUACCCAUUCUGUGUUUUCUCUCAGGAAGCAUCUUCCAGGCAGAAGACUCAGUAGAUCUGAACUUAAAGCUCAUGGACAUGAUUCAAAGGAAUUGGCACCGAAGAAGGGUUUUGCAGUGAGAAAUCGUAAAUCUGGACUUUUACUUGGGCUUGAUCUGCUUCCUGACCACUGUGCUGAAAAUCCUGUUUGAAGGGUUGAACUCCUGUUGAGAAACUGAGGGCACGAAUGUCUUAGGCACUCUCAGACAGAAGACGCUGGAAACAAUACAAACAUGGCCUCUGUCCUGAAUUAUCCAGCUUUGCAUUGUCUGGAAAUCACACAAAGAUGACCAACAAAGAUUUGCUAGACCAGGGCAUACAGUUCUUUUCUGGUGUCUUGCCACAGUCCUGAGAGCAAAGUAAGUAUUCAAUAAAUACUUGACUGUUGAAGUAGAAAUAUAUUAAGGGAUGGGUUGAUAUUUUUGUGGUUUUUUUUUUCUCCCAAUUUAAUGAGCACCAGUAAUCCAAAUGUAUACCGUUGAUCAUUCAGUUAUAACUGCCCACUGUGCUCUGACUUUACUGUAGCAGAUGCUUGAAGAACACAACCCUCUAAAGAUAGUUCAGUCAUUUAUCCAGAGAAGGCAGAACAAAACCCAGGAAAUUGGAUGUAACUGAUUAUUUACAAGUGUGUGCACGUGCGGCCUCAUUCUGAUGAAAAUGAUUUCUCAAUGGCCUGUUGUCCUAACCACCAAAAUGACUUCCAUGAAUUGUUUGUCACAGAGGGUAGGGGACAGGUGUAAUGUUUGCUUUUCCCUUGACCAGCUGGGUGCAUAAUUCUCAGCCCCUGAACUCAUCAAAAGAGCAAGCUGCUUCAAGAUCCCCUGAGACCACACAGGGCCGAGAACUUCCCAUGCAUGAUGCAUGGGAUGAAGUUAGAACCCAUCUAACUGGUGGAGGGGGUGGAAGAAAAGGAAGCCAGCAGACUGCAAAGGAAGCGUUGGGGACCAAGGCCUUUCAAAUACGCUUGAUUUCUCUACUGUUUCUCCAGUUAUUAUUCAGUGUCAUGGGGUUUUUUUGUUUGUUUGUUUUUUGGUUUUUAUAGCCUGUAUAGGGCUAUACAGAGACAGGGUUUCUCUGUAUAGCCCUGGCUGUCCUGGAACUCUCUUUGUAGACCAGGCUGGCCUAGAACUCAGAAAUCCGACUGCCUCUGCCUCCCGAGUGCUGGGAUUAAAGGCGUGCGCCACCACGCCCAGUGUCAUGUUUUAUACACCCGUGUCAUUUAGUUUCCAUAGAGGAGAGGAAGGGACACAACAAAAAGCCCAAAUAAUUCCAAAGGUCUUCAAAUAGGGAGCCAGCACACGCACAGACAAGCAUUAAAGACAGCAGAAGAUUCAGGCAGCAGCGAUUGGCUCCUGCUUCUCCUUGCUUUGGGGACGAAUUGAUUCAUGCCUCAGAGAUGGAAAGACUUGCCUAUAAUUUUAUUUUACUCAAGGCCUGGACUUCUCCAAUGACUGUCUUCAAGGCUCUAAGACAAUAAAAUUUAAGCUCUAGAUUCAAGGUUUUAUUUGGUGACUUGAACUAAAGUAGCAACCCGACUCCAUCCUCAUUCUUCAGGGAAUUGGGGCAAAUGCAACUGAAGCCCCAAAGAUACUUUUAGAAGUGAUAGGCUCUUGAAAUCAAUGGGUAUAGAGACUGCUUAGGAAGGCACUAAGUUCUGUCAUACAUCAAUUAGAUGUUAGCUAAUCAUAAUAAAUAUUUAACCUUAGGUAAAAGAUAGGGUUUUAAUUGUUCUUAUUAUAGAUAUCCUUUCUUUGCUAUGCUAAUUAUCCUGAUUAGAUCACUCUAUAAUAUGUGCAUGUAUGGAAACAUUCACGCUAUACCUUAUAAAAAUAAAAGUAUUCCCACUUAAAAUGCAAUUACACAAAAGAGAAGCCAGGCUUGAAGGACAACUGUAAAGCAGCUGUCUUACUCUGGAGAUACCUUUGAGCCUCAGAAGGUAAAAUCACGCCACCAGAUCAUUCAGCCCCCGUGUACCCCCCAGGCUGGUGUCGGCCACCAUCAGUGUACCCUUGGUUUCCAUGGCUGUCACUUACGCCU